AAUAACAACGUGAACAAUGGCCAAUAUCGCUCUGUUCACAGUAAAGUUCAAAUCAUUUAUUUGUGUGAUUAAAAUUAGUUUGAAAUUGCAGAGAUUGACGAGAAUAGUCAAUUUGGUAAGAAGAAGAAGAUUCUUCACCUGAGCCACCGACAUUGAAGAGGAAUACCAAACGAAAAUCAUCAAAGUGGAGGUAGCAGAACUCGGAUCUCUCGAUGUGCUUCGGUGAAGAGCAGCUGAAGGUGUUACGGUAUGAACUGAAGCUGUCUCGUUCGUGCUUAGCAAAGUCUCAUCACGGCCAUCCGCCAGCGCCUGAGGAAAAUGAAACCUGAAACGAAAUUAAACCUACCAGUUCACUGAUCACAUCCCAUCUCCAAAAGGAAGAACUGCAUUGCCACAAGGUUAACGUUCUACGAUAGCCUUGCAAACAACGUAAAACCCCAAACAAAAUUAUCGACGUCAUGAAAAUAUUUUAGUAGUACGAAUCAACAACCGACUCAAGUUAAGUUGCGGAACUGUACAUUGAAAAACACAUAAUAAGGACAAGUUAAUCCAAAUUGGGGCAGCUGAUUGGUGACGUCCGAGGCAGAUCCGGUUACGGAAUUAUUAUGCAGACUGCUGCAUUCUCUACAUGGCCACCUCCUAAUGCCGACGGGCCAGCUGGUUCCAAGUGAAGAAUAAAUAAGUCUCUGUCUGACUUUAUUUUGUUGUGUUGGAAAACGGCUCAAAUAUUCCGAUCAAAGAUUGGGAAACCGCAAAACCGGGAACAAAUUUAAACAGGGUUUACACAAUUGCUUCGGUGUUGGAAGUGUUUAGAGCAGCGUGGCCACGAUGUAUCGCCGACAAGUAAAUCACGACCAAGAUCACAUAUCUGCUAAACGAUUUGGCCCAGUGGUGACUGAAUUUUUAUUCAGACGGACGAGUUGCAGUUAAGUGAUCGAACAAUACGCAUUAUAAGGUAAUUAAGAAUUAUCUAUUAGCGUGUCUCGGCCGUUUCCGCUGAUACUGUGCCAAUCCUAUGCCGGCUGGUGUUGUGAGCGAUGAAACAAUGACAUGAAUGAGGAAACCUCGUUACGGACAUCCGGAUUGUAUUUUACCGGAAGGUUCUUCCACUUGGCGGAAGCGCAACAUUAACAUUAAUAAUAGUUGCAGUUGUGGCAUCGGAUCGAACAAUACGCAUUAUAAGUGCUACCAGAGUGAUGCUACGUCAAAUUACUUUGACUCAGUCGAGAAACGAGAGAGUACGCAGUCGAGAAGACCAACUUAAAAAUCCUGAAGGGUGAUGGCUGAAACUGGAGAAUAAAUUAUAUUGAUCACAUCCUACUUCAAUCACAGCCCCAAUCGUUUAAGACACCUUAGGAUUCCGAUAAACUCGGAUAAACUCGCACUGAUUCAUCUGGAUGGAGCCAACUCAGCCGCAGUCUUUUAAGGAUUCCGAUAAAUUCCCACCGAAUCAUCUGGAUGUCCUAUCCAGGUCACACAUGGGGCCCUAUUUAAGCAAAGGAUGUCACAAUGGACACGGCACAUCCUCCAUAACCAAAAAAGAAUUGGAUGAAAAGGUGCACAGCAUAUAAACGCAUUUGAUUUGUUAUAUAAAGAAGUCAAUGUACUACCGACAAUCUUAAAGUCUUGAAGGUUUAAAAACCUGAUUGCAAACUGCAUGGACGCACACAAGUUGAGGCGGAGGCCACAGCUAUAAAGACGCG
This 1703-nucleotide long non-coding RNA is filed under the name Daphnia pulex (common water flea). RNAcentral describes it as "uncharacterized LOC124204023, transcript variant X3". The record is from RNAcentral. Lineage: Eukaryota; Metazoa; Arthropoda; Branchiopoda; Diplostraca; Daphniidae.